Tympanuchus pallidicinctus (lesser prairie-chicken) is the source of this 1830-nucleotide long non-coding RNA. RefSeq lists it as uncharacterized. The transcript has 2 exons. Lineage: Eukaryota; Metazoa; Chordata; Aves; Galliformes; Phasianidae. The record is from RefSeq and is a predicted model, not a curated record.
CUGCACAAUCCUGUCAUAGCCAGAAAUGUUUCAGCUGCAUCGUUAUUUAUUUUUAUUCUUUUCCUGCAGCAUCUUAUUUGCCCUUGGUUGUAAAAGGACUGAGCUGAUGUUAGCAUUCUUUUCAAUUGGUAUUUUUCUGAAGAAAAAGGCAUAAAUGGACACUGCAGUUUUGACUGAUCUGAUAAUAAGUAUAGGGGAAAGCACUUGGUGUGGUUGCAUUGCCCUGUUGUCCUGGGCUGCAGAUGGUCACUGAAGCUGUGCUCACCCCCCCCCCCCAGGUGCUAACACUCAGCCUCUGCUGGGCAGAUGAAGCACAGCUGGGUAAGGAGCAGGUCCUGAUGGGCAUUGUUUGUUGGCUUGGGAGCUUGCCUUGCCUCUUUAGGGACCUGACACAAACCUGGGAGCUCAGAAACGUGGUGCUCUCUGCUGUAGCCAUUCAUGUUCUUCCCAUUCAGCAGGUGUGAGUUGCCACCAGCAGCAGUUUUUCUCCUUGGAUUCCAGGCACCAUUCACAUCCCACUGUUUGGAAUAUGACCAUCACUACGUUUAGCCACCAGUCCUGGGAGGAUGUGUUGCUGCCCUGCUGACAACCCACCAGAGAUGCCCUGAGGGCUGGGAUGCACGUUGCUGUCUGCCCUGAGGCUGUAAGCUUGUGAUAACACCGCCGAGCUCACGUCGAGGAGGGGAAGCCGAGCAACCUCAAUUUUGGAGCUGAGCAGCAGCGGGGAACCCAUCUUAAAACUGCAUCACCUCACCGGCUUCAAAAGCAAAGGAGCUUCUUUUAUUGCAGUGAGCUGCACCCCAGGAAUGAUUGAAGUCCCUUGAACAAGCACCUUCCUCAUCGCAGAGCCAUCUGCUGACAGGGUGCCAAGUACAACAAGCCCAGUCCAAAGCAUCAUCACCUCCAUGGGGCUAAUUGUCGUUGCCUUGUCCCUUGAACAAGAAUUGUGGUAAGGGAAAGCAGAGCCUGGAGACACAUGCAAGUCCCUGAACAGAAAUAACCCCUGAAGGAGAACUGAAAAGCAAUUGAGGAGUCGGCCUACGGGCUGCAGACAAAGCACAGAGCAAAGGAGAUAACCAGCAGUGAGCACUGGGAAAUAAUGCCUUAAAUUCCCUCUGAGCCCGUUCAUCAUCGUGGCUUUGGUGAUCAUCUCAGCAACAAAUUCCCUUAUCAUCCGGCUGGAAUUUGAUGUUAAUGACCUGUCUGUUAUUUCAGAGGGAGAUGGACUGGAACCAGUGGGUAAUUGGUAGGAAAAAUCGCUGGGUGCAGCUAAGAGCUGAUGCUACUGGAGUCGUUACACCAUGGGAGAGGGAGAUUAGGGAGCUCUGCUUACCACAAGGGGUUUAUUCAUCCUGAAUAAAUGCAUUAGCUGACCAGAAUUGUCCUCCUAUGCCCUCAUUCCUGUCUGGUGGCAUCUCCCCACCACAACUCACCCUGCUUUUCCCAACAAACAGCAGAGAAAGCCCAGCAGAAGCUGAUAGAAUCAUAGAACACCCAGAGCUGGAAGGGACCCAUAAGGAUCAUCGAGUCCAAUUCCUGCUGUUGAGAUGAUCACGGUAAGGAAUAACCUGCUCUCUCCAAGCUCACACUGAUGUAUGCAUUUAUUUUGGAGUUCUCUCAGGAAAGACCAUAAUUAUUCUAAUUUCUUAAUUACCAAAAUUAUUCAAACCCUUCUGCCCUGCGAUGUUUUGCACAAACAACCUCCCAGAUUGCAGCAGCGUUAGGAUUUGGGUCUGUUUCUCAGCUGGAAGGAUUCUCUGCAUUCAUUACCAUUUCUCCAUGCCGUCACGUUAGCGGGGCAGCCUGCAGCCCUCACCAAAAAUAGGAUAA